This is a long non-coding RNA of Protobothrops mucrosquamatus (brown spotted pit viper), 461 nucleotides long. RefSeq lists it as uncharacterized. The record is from RefSeq and is a predicted model, not a curated record. The transcript is spliced from 3 exons. Lineage: Eukaryota; Metazoa; Chordata; Lepidosauria; Squamata; Viperidae.
AGGACAGAAACAUUUAUAGCAAGAAUAUAUUCAGGAGCUGACUCCACUAGAAAGUGAGGUACAGUAUGAGAGGCGCUAAGAUUGGCUGUUGAAUAGAAAAAGAUGAGUGCAGAUGAAAUAGACACUGAACUACUUAUGCUGCAAGAGAUGCUAACUGCAAUAUACAAACACAUAUAGAACAAGACGGUCUAUUCAUACAGAUUGGAAAAGACUGGAUCACAUCAGAGAAAAGCCUUUGUAUGGUGAAAAUAAGGCACUUGUUCGGCAUGUGAGGGAAUGUGCAUGUGUGAAAAGUCCACCUGGGUUGUAGGCUGUUUAGCAUCAACCAUCAACAGAAAAGGAAGAAUCAGUCAAGAAACCGGCAGAUUAGUGCUUGGCACAGUAGCCACAGAGACAUUGGAAAAGAUAGGAUGUUUGCAAUUGGUGUGAGUUCUGCGAUUGGUGUGAGUUCAAGUAAUGUG